RNAcentral lists this ribosomal RNA (450 nucleotides) under uncultured bacterium. RNAcentral describes it as "bacterial SSU rRNA". It matches the Rfam family "Bacterial small subunit ribosomal RNA", at positions 29 to 526 of the family's 1533-position model. The record is from RNAcentral.
AACGAACGCUGGCGGCAGGCCUAACACAUGCAAGUCGAACGCCCCGCAAGGGGAGUGGCAGACGGGUGAGUAACACGUGGGAACCUUCCCUAUAGUACGGAAUAGCCCAGGGAAACUUGGAGUAAUACCGUAUACGCCCGAAAGGGGAAAGAUUUAUCGCUAUAGGAUGGGCCCGCGUAGGAUUAGCUAGUUGGUGAGGUAAUGGCUCACCAAGGCGACGAUCCUUAGCUGGUUUGAGAGAACGACCAGCCACACUGGGACUGAGACACGGCCCAGACUCCUACGGGAGGCAGCAGUGGGGAAUAUUGGACAAUGGGCGCAAGCCUGAUCCAGCCAUGCCGCGUGAGUGAUGAAGGCCUUAGGGUUGUAAAGCUCUUUUGCCGGGGACGAUAAUGACGGUACCCGGAGAAUAAGUCCCGGCUAACUUCGUGCCAGCCGCCGCGGUAACAC